GAGGGUGUAGCUCAGUGGUAGAGUGCACGCUUAGCAUGCACGAGGUUCAGGGUUCAAUCCCCAGUACCUCCA
This 72-nucleotide transfer RNA is filed under the name Camelus bactrianus (Bactrian camel). It matches the Rfam family "tRNA". Rfam says of the family: Transfer RNA (tRNA) molecules are approximately 80 nucleotides in length. The record is from Rfam by way of RNAcentral. Lineage: Eukaryota; Metazoa; Chordata; Mammalia; Artiodactyla; Camelidae. RNAcentral also lists the same sequence under 2 other names.